RNAcentral lists this ribosomal RNA (303 nucleotides) under uncultured bacterium. Its description in RNAcentral is "partial 16S ribosomal RNA". It matches the Rfam family "Bacterial small subunit ribosomal RNA", at positions 507 to 807 of the family's 1533-position model. The record is from RNAcentral.
AGCAGUCGCCGCGGGAAUACGGAGGGUGCAAGCGUUAAUCGGAAUUACUGGGCGUAAAGCGCACGCAGGCGGUCUGUCAAGUCGGAUGUGAAAUCCCCGGGCUCAACCUGGGAACUGCAUCCGAAACUGGCAGGCUAGAGUCUUGUAGAGGGGGGUAGAAUUCCAGGUGUAGCGGUGAAAUGCGUAGAGAUCUGGAGGAAUACCGGUGGCGAAGGCGGCCCCCUGGACAAAGACUGACGCUCAGGUGCGAAAGCGUGGGGAGCAAACAGGAUUAGAGACCCCAGUAGUCCCUGUCUCUUAUAC